RNAcentral lists this Y RNA (113 nucleotides) under Propithecus coquereli (Coquerel's sifaka). Its description in RNAcentral is "Y RNA (ENSPCOG00000007508.1)". It matches the Rfam family "Y RNA". Rfam says of the family: Y RNAs are components of the Ro ribonucleoprotein particle (Ro RNP), in association with Ro60 and La proteins. The Y RNAs and Ro60 and La proteins are well conserved, but the function of the Ro RNP is not known. Lineage: Eukaryota; Metazoa; Chordata; Mammalia; Primates; Indriidae. The record is from Rfam by way of RNAcentral.
GGCGGGUCCAAAGGUAGUGAGUUAUCUCAACUGAUUGUUCACAAUCAAGUUAUAGAUCAAACUUCUUGUUUUAUUCUUUCCUUCGUCUCACUAUUGCACUUGACUAGGCUUAA